AGUGAACGCUGGCGGUAGGCCUAACACAUGCAAGUCGAACGGCAGCACAGUAAGAGCUUGCUCUUACGGGUGGCGAGUGGCGGACGGGUGAGGAAUACAUCGGAAUCUACUUUUUCGUGGGGGAUAACGUAGGGAAACUUACGCUAAUACCGCAUACGACCUACGGGUGAAAGCAGGGGAUCUUCGGACCUUGCGCGAUUGAAUGAGCCGAUGUCGGAUUAGCUAGUUGGCGGGGUAAAGGCCCACCAAGGCGACGAUCCGUAGCUGGUCUGAGAGGAUGAUCAGUCACACUGGAACUGAGACACGGUCCAGACUCCUACGGGAGGCAGCAGUGGGGAAUAUUGACAAUGGGCGCAAGCCUGAUCCAGCCAUACCGCGUGGGUGAAGAAGGCCUUCGGGUUGUAAAGCCCUUUUGUUGGGAAAGAAAAGCAGCAGGUUAAUACCCCGCUGUUCUGACGGUACCCAAAGAAUAAGCACCGGCUAACUUCGUG
Molecule: ribosomal RNA, 491 nt
Filed under: uncultured bacterium
Lineage: Bacteria
Description: partial 16S ribosomal RNA
Rfam family: Bacterial small subunit ribosomal RNA
Source: RNAcentral